This 253-nucleotide ribosomal RNA is filed under the name uncultured archaeon. RNAcentral's name for it is "partial 16S ribosomal RNA". It matches the Rfam family "Archaeal small subunit ribosomal RNA", at positions 474 to 727 of the family's 1478-position model. The record is from RNAcentral.
AACCAGCACCUCAAGUGGUCAGGAUGAUUAUUGGGCCUAAAGCAUCCGUAGCCUGCUCUGUUAGUUUUCGGUCAAAUCCAUGUGCUCAACACAUGGGCUGCCGAAAAUACUGCAGAGCUAGGGAGUGGGAGAGGUAGACGGUACUCAGUAGGAAGGGGUAAAAUCCUUUGAUCUAUUGAUGACCACCUGUGGCGAAGGCGGUCUACCAGAACACGUUCGACGGUGAGGGAUGAAAGCUGGGGGAGCAAACCGG